UGCAACUCGACUACAUGAAGCUGGAAUCGCUAGUAAUCGCAGAUCAGAAUGCUGCGGUGAAUACGUUCCCGGGUCUUGUACACACCGCCCGUCACACCAUGGGAGUCGGAAAUGCCCGAAGCCGGUGACCAAACCAAUAAGGAAGGAGCCGUCGAAGGCAGGUCUGAUAACUGGGGUGAAGUCGUAACAAGGUACC
RNAcentral lists this ribosomal RNA (196 nucleotides) under uncultured bacterium. RNAcentral's name for it is "partial 16S ribosomal RNA". It matches the Rfam family "Bacterial small subunit ribosomal RNA", at positions 1306 to 1500 of the family's 1533-position model. The record is from RNAcentral.